AUUGAACGCUAGCGGGAUGCUUUACACAUGCAAGUCGAACGGCAGCGCGGACUUCGGUCUGGCGGCGAGUGGCGAACGGGUGAGUAAUGUAUCGGAACGUGCCCAGUAGCGGGGGAUAACUACGCGAAAGCGUAGCUAAUACCGCAUACGCCCUACGGGGGAAAGCAGGGGAUCGUAAGACCUUGCACUAUUGGAGCGGCCGAUAUCGGAUUAGCUAGUUGGUGAGGUAACGGCUCACCAAGGCGACGAUCCGUAGCUGGUUUGAGAGGACGACCAGCCACACUGGGACUGAGACACGGCCCAGACUCCUACGGGAGGCAGCAGUGGGGAAUUUUGGACAAUGGGGGCAACCCUGGUCCAGCCAUCCCGCGUGUGCGAUGAAGGCCUUCGGGUUGUAAAGCACUUUUGGCAGGAAAGAAACGUCGCGGGCUAAUACCCCGUGGAACUGACGGUACCUGCAGAAUAAGCACCGGCUAACUACGUG
This 484-nucleotide ribosomal RNA is filed under the name uncultured bacterium. RNAcentral's name for it is "partial 16S ribosomal RNA". It matches the Rfam family "Bacterial small subunit ribosomal RNA", at positions 30 to 507 of the family's 1533-position model. The record is from RNAcentral.